Molecule: ribosomal RNA, 253 nt
Filed under: uncultured bacterium
Lineage: Bacteria
Description: partial 16S ribosomal RNA
Rfam family: Bacterial small subunit ribosomal RNA
Source: RNAcentral
UACAGAGGUCUCAAGCGUUGUUCGGAUUCAUUGGGCGUAAAGGGUGCGUAGGUGGCGAGGCAAGUCUGGUGUGAAAUCCCGGGGCUCAACCCCGGAACUGCACUGGAUACUGCCUUGCUUGAGCACUGGAGAGGGAACUGGAAUUUACGGUGUAGCAGUGAAAUGCGUAGAUAUCGAGAGGAACACCUGCGGCGAAGGCGGGUUGCUGGGCUGGCACUGACGCUGAUGCGCGAAAGCCAGGGGAGCGAACGGG